GAUCGCGUAGCUCAGUUGGUAGAGCACUACCUUGACAUGGUAGGGGCCGUUGGUUCAAGUCCAAUCGUGAUCACCA
RNAcentral lists this transfer RNA (76 nucleotides) under Campylobacterales bacterium. RNAcentral's name for it is "tRNA-Val". It matches the Rfam family "tRNA". From Rfam's summary of the family: Transfer RNA (tRNA) molecules are approximately 80 nucleotides in length. Their secondary structure includes four short double-helical elements and three loops (D, anti-codon, and T loops). RNAcentral also lists the same sequence under 2 other names. The record is from RNAcentral. Lineage: Bacteria; Pseudomonadati; Campylobacterota; Epsilonproteobacteria; Campylobacterales.